GGAAUAUUGGUCAAUGGGCGGAAGCCUGAACCAGCCAUGCCGCGUGAAGGAAUAAGGUCCUAUGGAUCGUAAACUUCUUUUGUGCGGGAGCAAUAAGGGCUACGUGUAGUCCGAUGAGAGUACCGUACGAAUAAGCAUCGGCUAACUCCGUGCCAGCAGCCGCGGUAAUACGGAGGAUGCAAGCGUUAUCCGGAUUUAUUGGGUUUAAAGGGUGCGUAGGCGGUUUGCUAAGCGGGAGGUGAAAUGCCGGCGCUCAACGUCGGAAGUGCCCCCCGAACUGGUGGACUGGAAUGACUCUGCCGUGGGAGGAAUGUGUAGUGUAGCGGUGAAAUGCUUAGAGAUUACACAGAACACCGAUUGCGAAGGCAUCUCACGAAGGGUUGAUUGACGCUGAGGCACGAAAGCGUGGGGAUCAAACA
Molecule: ribosomal RNA, 419 nt
Filed under: uncultured bacterium
Lineage: Bacteria
Description: bacterial SSU rRNA
Rfam family: Bacterial small subunit ribosomal RNA
Source: RNAcentral